RNAcentral lists this ribosomal RNA (1653 nucleotides) under Lactobacillus delbrueckii subsp. lactis. RNAcentral's name for it is "partial 23S ribosomal RNA". It matches the Rfam family "Bacterial large subunit ribosomal RNA", at positions 1268 to 2925 of the family's 2925-position model. Lineage: Bacteria; Bacillati; Bacillota; Bacilli; Lactobacillales; Lactobacillaceae. The record is from RNAcentral.
GACAUGUGGAGCUUCUAGAAGUGAGAAUGCCGGUAUGAGUAACGAAAGACAGGUGAGAAUCCUGUCCGCCGCAAGACUAAGGUUUCCUGGGGCAGGCUCGUCCGCCCAGGGUAAGUCGGGACCUAAGGCGAGGCCGAGAGGCGUAGUCGAUGGACAACAGGUUGAAAUUCCUGUACUGCACCGAAUCGUUAUGAGCGAUGGAGGGACGCAGGAGGCUAGCAGCGCGUGGUGCUGGAUACCACGUUCAAGCGUCAAGUCUGAGAGCGAGUCAAAUGCUUGCUCUCAUAAGGACAAGGCGUGAUGAGGAGCGAAAUUAAAGUAGCGAAGGCUGCGACGUCACACUGCCGAGAAAAGCUUCUAGCCAGAAACGGUGCACCCGUACCGCAAACCGACACAGGUAGUCGAGGAGAGUAUCCUCAGGUGAGCGAGAGAACUCUCGUUAAGGAACUCGGCAAAAUGGCCCCGUAACUUCGGGAGAAGGGGCGCUGGUCGCAAGAUCAGCCGCAGUGAAAAGGCCCAAGCAACUGUUUAUCAAAAACACAGGCAUCUGCAAAAUCGUAAGAUGAAGUAUAGGUGCUGACACCUGCCCGGUGCUGGAAGGUUAAGAGGAGAGCUUAGCGCAAGCGAAGGUUUGAAUUGAAGCCCCAGUAAACGGCGGCCGUAACUAUAACGGUCCUAAGGUAGCGAAAUUCCUUGUCGGGUAAGUUCCGACCUGCACGAAAGGUGUAAUGAUUUGGGCACUGUCUCAACGAGAGACUCGGUGAAAUUAUAAUACCCGUGAAGAUGCGGGUUACCCGCGACAGGACGGAAAGACCCCAUGGAGCUUUACUGCAGUUUAAUAUUGGGUAUCUGUCAAGCAUGUACAGGAUAGGUAGGAGCCGGAGAAGAUAGGACGCCAGUCUUAUCUGAGGCGCUGUUGGGAUACUACCCUUGCUUGACGGAUGCUCUAACUCAGGCCUGUGAUCCAGGCCGAGGACAGUGUUUGACGGGCAGUUUGACUGGGGCGGUCGCCUCCUAAAGCGUAACGGAGGCGCCCAAAGGUUCCCUCAGAAUGGUUGGAAAUCAUUCGCAGAGUGUAAAGGCAAAAGGGAGCUUGACUGCGAGAGAGACAACUCGAGCAGGUACGAAAGUAGGGCUUAGUGAUCUGGUGGUACCGCAUGGAAGGGCCAUCACUCAACGGAUAAAAGCUACCCUGGGGAUAACAGGCUUAUCUCCCCCAAGAGUUCACAUCGACGGGGAGGUUUGGCACCUCGAUGUCGGCUCGUCGCAUCCUGGGGCUGAAGUCGGUCCCAAGGGUUGGGCUGUUCGCCCAUUAAAGCGGCACGCGAGCUGGGUUCAGAACGUCGUGAGACAGUUCGGUCCCUAUCCGUCGUGGGCGCAGGAAAUUUGAGAGGAGCUGUCCUUAGUACGAGAGGACCGGGAUGGACGCACCGCUGGUGUACCAGUUGUCUUGCCAAAGGCAUCGCUGGGUAGCUAUGUGCGGACGGGAUAAGCGCUGAAAGCAUCUAAGUGCGAAGCCCCCCUCAAGAUGAGAUUUCCCAUUUCUUCAAGAAAGUAAGACACCUCAGAGACGAUGAGGUAGAUAGGCCGGGAGUGGAAGAGCCGUGAGGCUUGGAGCGGACCGGUACUAAUCAGUCGAGGACUUGACCAAAA